Molecule: ribosomal RNA, 1398 nt
Filed under: Triticum aestivum (bread wheat)
Lineage: Eukaryota; Viridiplantae; Streptophyta; Magnoliopsida; Poales; Poaceae
Description: partial small subunit ribosomal RNA
Source: RNAcentral
AUGGCCCUGCCGGCUAUCCCCGACGAGCUCCUGGCGGAAAUCCUCCUCCGCCUUCCCACCCCAGAGGACCUCAUCCGCGCCUCCGACGCCUGCGUCUCCAUCCGCCGCCUCGUCGUCAACCGCGCCUUCCUCCGGCGCUUCCGCAAGCUCCACCCUCCGCCCCUCCUCGGCUUCGUCAACUACAAAGGCUUCCGCCCCGCCUUACCGCCUCAACCCUCCGCGCCGGCGGCCAGCGCCGUUGCCCGUGCCGCCGACUUCGACUUCGCCUUCCUCCCCGCACCUGCCUUGGACUGGUCCAUGCGGGAAGUCCGCGACGGCCGCGUCCUCCUCGACAGAUCCUCCCGGCACGCCGGUGACGGGCUUGGAUCCGUCUUCAAGGAGAUGGUGGUGUGCGACCCCCUGCACCGGCAGUAUCUCCUGCUCCCCCCGCUCCCCGGUGACCUAGCCAUUUCGAUUGUUGUCGCACUCGCGAUUGAAGGGCCGUGCUUCGGCGAAUCCUUCCUCGCCCCUCCCGGCGACGACGAGGAGGCAGCUGCUACUACUGAGGGGACGUCAUUCAGAGUGAUCUGGAUGACGCUGCUCCAAACUAAGCCAAUGGCCGCUGUCUUCUCCUCCGGCACAGGGCAAUGGCAAACCCUGAGUCGGAGCGAGCCGUUACCUGGCUUUUUGUUAUCGACGUGGAAGUUUUGGUUCGUGUCGCUCCAUUACGCACAUGGUUGCUUCUACUGGGUUUCAGGCGCACGCCAUGCUGACGCCCAGGGAGCGGGGGAUGAUGUGCUGGCGCCUGAACUACAGGAAGCUGACACUGGAGGCGUCCAAGGACCUGUUGUCGCAGCAGCAGCCCAAGAUCUGAACCGCUUGUUCGUCGUCGAAGGGACACACCAUGCUGAUAUCCAGGGAGCAGGGGAGCCUGAAGUACGAGAAGCUGACCCUGGAGGCGUGCAAGGACCUGUUGUCGCAGCAGCCACCCAAGCUUUGAUCCCCUUGUUCGUCGUUGAAGGCACACACCAUGCUGACGCCCAGGGAGCGGAGGAUGAUGUGCUGGCGCUUGAACUACGAGAAGCUGACCCUGGAGGCAUGGAAGGACCUGUUGUGGCAGCGUCCACCCAAGGUCCUGACCCCUUGUUCGUUAUCGAAGGGAGGGCCGGCGGCCAAGGAGUUCCUCACGGUGGAGGCCGCGACAAGGAGUACAUGGUGGAACUCCGCCCCCAGUACCUGGAGUUGGUGGACGCAGAGCGGCAGCGGUUGGCCGACGAGGCGGUGGACGGGGCAGUUGUUAACAUCUCCGACGACGAGGAGGAGAUCGACGUCCAAGAAUGGCACCACAUCUUCCCCAACAUUAUUGACGACGGCAGAGGGCUGGACCGCAAGAUCGGUGGUAUGAGGCAGGCACAAUGA